RNAcentral lists this ribosomal RNA (96 nucleotides) under uncultured bacterium. RNAcentral's name for it is "partial 16S ribosomal RNA". It matches the Rfam family "Bacterial small subunit ribosomal RNA", at positions 1404 to 1500 of the family's 1533-position model. The record is from RNAcentral.
AUGAGAGUUGGGAAUACCCGAAGCCUGUGAGCUAGCUUAUAGAGGCAGCAGUCGAAGGUAGAAUCAAUGAUUGGGGUGAAGUCGUAACAAGGUAGC